Non-coding RNA from Plenodomus lindquistii, 112 nucleotides. The record is from the annotation of a GenBank genome assembly. NCBI's taxonomy places the organism in Eukaryota, Fungi, Ascomycota, Dothideomycetes, Pleosporales, Leptosphaeriaceae.
GGCCGGAUGGCGCAAUGGUAGCGCGCAGCCCUCCUAUUCAUUGCUACACGUAAAACACGUAGAAUAGAGAAUUGUGAGGCUGAGGCUGAGGGUUCGAGUCCCUCUUCGGUCG